Molecule: ribosomal RNA, 577 nt
Filed under: Crypthelia peircei
Lineage: Eukaryota; Metazoa; Cnidaria; Hydrozoa; Anthoathecata; Stylasteridae
Description: partial 16S large subunit ribosomal RNA
Rfam family: Bacterial large subunit ribosomal RNA
Source: RNAcentral
CUCAGAAAAAAUCUKAGGUGCAACCUGCCCAAUGGCUUCAAAAAAUAAGACAUAAACAACUUUAAUAAAGCUUAAAGGACGCAGUAACCUAACUGUGAUAAUGUAGCGUAAUCAUUCGCCACUUAAUUAGUGGAUAGUAUGAAUGGUCAAACGAAUUUCCCACUGUCUAAAAAAGAGGAAUCAUGAAAUUAAAAUAAUAGUUAAGAUGCUAUUUAAAGUUGUAAGACGAAAAGACCCUAUAGAGCUUAACUAUAAUCUCCCUAAAAGAACAUUUUACAAAACAGAGAGAAUGGUAGUUUAGUUGGGGCGACUACCUUUUAAAAAUAACAAAGGUAAGCUACGUUAAUAAAAGACUUACUGUACAACCCAUAAGUUUAACAGUUACUAAAGUAGGCUAUAAUGACCCGUUGAAUUCUAGUAACAAAUUCAACGAUCAAUAAACAAAAGCUACCUUAGGGAUAACAGGAUAAUUUAGUCCCAGAGAUCUUAUCGAAGACAAAGUUUAUCACCUCUAUGUUGAAUUAAGAUACCCCAGCGGGGCAAAACUGCUAAAGGUAGGUCUGUUCGACCUUUAAAU